Molecule: long non-coding RNA, 309 nt
Organism: Centruroides sculpturatus (bark scorpion)
Lineage: Eukaryota; Metazoa; Arthropoda; Arachnida; Scorpiones; Buthidae
Exons: 2
Source: RefSeq, a predicted model, not a curated record
AUUAAAAUGAAAUUUUUCAGUUUCAAUAAUGAUUUUUUAUUCAUUUAGAUUGGUCUGUUCAAUCAAAUUACUUUGGAACAUUGUCCUGGAUUAGUUCAACUCGUGAAACCCGGAGAAGAAAUGUCUGACCUGAUGAAGCUGUCUCCAGAAAGUAUAUUGUUACGUUGGGUCAAUUAUCAUCUGGACAGAGCUGGCAGCAAUCGUCGAAUCACAAACUUCACAAAUGAUAUCAAAGACUCGGAGAUAUACACACAUUUACUAAAACAGAUUGCUCCCGUUGGUGCUGGAGUAACAUGUGAAGCUUUAAUG